This 564-nucleotide ribosomal RNA is filed under the name Yarrowia lipolytica. RNAcentral's name for it is "LSU rRNA". It matches the Rfam family "Eukaryotic large subunit ribosomal RNA", at positions 1 to 528 of the family's 3401-position model. The record is from RNAcentral. Lineage: Eukaryota; Fungi; Ascomycota; Dipodascomycetes; Dipodascales.
UCACCUCCUUCAUCCGAGAUUACCCCGCUGAACUUAAGCAUAUCAAUAAGCGGAGGAAAAGAAACAACAGGGAUUGCCUCAGUAACGGCGAGUGAAGCGGCAAAAGCUCAAAUUUGAAACCCUCGGGAUUGUAAUUUGAAGAUUUGGCAUUGGAGAAAGCUAACCCAAGUUGCUUGGAAUAGUACGUCAUAGAGGGUGACAACCCCGUCUGGCUAACCGUUCUCCAUGUAUUGCCUUAUCAAAGAGUCGAGUUGUUUGGGAAUGCAGCUCAAAGUGGGUGGUAAACUCCAUCUAAAGCUAAAUACUGGUGAGAGACCGAUAGCGAACAAGUACUGUGAAGGAAAGGUGAAAAGAACUUUGAAAAGAGAGUGAAAUAGUAUGUGAAAUUGUUGAUAGGGAAGGAAAUGAGUGGAGAGUGGCCGAGGUUUCAGCCGCCCCUCGUGGGCGGUGUACUGCCGACGCCGAGUCAUCGAUAGCGAGACGAGGGUUACAAAUGGGAGCGCCUUCGGGCGUUCUCCCCUAACCCUCCACACUGCCACCGACGACAUAAUCCACCCAUUUACU